RNAcentral lists this ribosomal RNA (469 nucleotides) under uncultured bacterium. Its description in RNAcentral is "bacterial SSU rRNA". It matches the Rfam family "Bacterial small subunit ribosomal RNA", at positions 28 to 496 of the family's 1533-position model. The record is from RNAcentral.
GAUGAACGCUAGCGGGAGGCUUAACACAUGCAAGUCGAGGGGCAGCAUUUACUUCGGUAAGAUGGCGACCGGCGCACGGGUGCGUAACGCGUAUGCAACCUACCUUAUACAGAGGGAUAGCCCAUGGAAACGUGGAUUAAUACCUCAUAGUAUUGUAAUAUCGCCUGAUAUAACAAUUAAAAUUUCGAUGGUAUAAGAUGGGCAUGCGUCUGAUUAGUUAGUUGGUGAGGUAACGGCUCACCAAGACGACGAUCAGUAGGGGUUCUGAGAGGAUUAUCCCCCACACUGGUACUGAGACACGGACCAGACUCUUACGGGAGCAGCAGUGAGGAAUAUUGGUCAAUGGGCGCAAGCCUGAACCAGCCAUCCCGCGUGCAGGAUGACGGCCCUAUGGGUUGUAAACUGCUUUUCAUGCCAAGAAUGGUUCUUACGUGUAAGGAUUUGACGGUAGCAUAGGAAUAAGCACCGG